GACGAACGCUGGCGGCGUGCCUAAUACAUGCAAGUUGAGCGCUGAGGGUUGGUACUUGUGCGAACCGGGUGAGCCGCACACGGGUGAGUCACGCGUGUGAACUCUGCCUUUGUGCGGGGGAACACAAUUGAACACGAAUGCUUACCCCGCAUAAACACUUUCAACACAAGUUUUAUGUUUAAAAGAUGCCGUUUCAUCACUCACAGCUGGUCUCGCGUUGUAUUAGCUAGUUGGUGAGGUAAAGACUCACCAAGGCGAGGAUACAUAGCCGACCUGAGCGGGUGAGCGGCCACACUGGGACGGUGACAGGGCCCAAAGGCCUUGGGGAGGCAGCAGUAGGGAAUCUGCGGCAAUGGACGAGAGUCUGACCGAGAAACGCCGCGUGAUGGUAGAAGGUGUUCGGGUCGUAAAACUCUGUUGUUAGAGAAGAAAGUGGGUGAGAGUGUAAAGCUCAGCAAGUGACGGUAAUUAGUCAGGAAGGGACGGCUAACUACGUG
RNAcentral lists this ribosomal RNA (497 nucleotides) under uncultured bacterium. RNAcentral's name for it is "partial 16S ribosomal RNA". It matches the Rfam family "Bacterial small subunit ribosomal RNA", at positions 28 to 507 of the family's 1533-position model. The record is from RNAcentral.